GAGUGUCACAGCUCUUUCAAAAUUUGUACAGCAAGUUUUUUGCUUUUUACUAGAAACACUUCU
Molecule: small nuclear RNA, 63 nt
Organism: Otolemur garnettii (small-eared galago)
Lineage: Eukaryota; Metazoa; Chordata; Mammalia; Primates; Galagidae
Gene: U7
Rfam family: U7 small nuclear RNA
About the family: Animal histone pre-mRNAs are spliced by a different mechanism than nuclear pre-mRNAs and self-splicing introns. This processing involves the U7 snRNP, which contains only one RNA species: U7.
Source: Ensembl